GAUGAACGCUGGCGGCGUGCCUAAUACAUGCAAGUCGAGCGAACAGACGAGGAGCUUGCUCCUCUGACGUUAGCGGCGGACGGGUGAGUAACACGUGGAUAACCUACCUAUAAGACUGGGAUAACUUCGGGAAACCGGAGCUAAUACCGGAUAAUAUAUUGAACCGCAUGGUUCAAUAGUGAAAGACGGUUUUGCUGUCACUUAUAGAUGGAUCCGCGCCGCAUUAGCUAGUUGGUAAGGUAACGGCUUACCAAGGCAACGAUGCGUAGCCGACCUGAGAGGAUGAUCGGCCACACUAGACCUGAGACACGGUCCAGACUCCUACGGGAGGCAGCAGUAGGGAAUCUUCCGCAAUGGGCGAAAGCCUGACGGAGCAACGCCGCGUGAGUGAUGAAGGUCUUCGGAUCGUAAAACUCUGUUAUUAGGGAAGAACAAAUGUGUAAGUAACUAUGCACGUCUUGACGGUACCUAAUCAGAAAGCCACGGCUAACUACGUG
Molecule: ribosomal RNA, 497 nt
Filed under: uncultured bacterium
Lineage: Bacteria
Description: partial 16S ribosomal RNA
Rfam family: Bacterial small subunit ribosomal RNA
Source: RNAcentral